UCUUUACAUCUGAUGUUUUUAAUAAACUUGUAGGAAGAGUGACUUGCGAUGGACUGCCUUAAUACGAUUUUUUCUAGGGUACCUGGAUCAUAAUCAAUUUACUGGGAGAAUCCCGGAUGCAUUCUAUAAGCACACUUUCUUGAAAGAAAUGUAUAUUGAAGGAAAUGCUUUCCGGCCAGGUGUGAACCCUAUUGGCAUCCACAAUGUCCAGUACUAUGUCAAUGGUCAGGUUGUCAUCGAAUCAGCAGGGGAUACUCUGGAAUCUUGUAGUAAAGCACAAACGGACUCUUAUCAGGAGGAAGUUGCAGUUGCUUAGGAACAUAUCUAGCUUAUUCACAGCCUAAUAGUUUUUUGGGCUAUUUGUAUUUUAGUCAUGGCGUUUGCAUAACAUCUUGAAUUUGGAAUUUGCAAUGUUUCUAUGGGACCUUCUCAUAUGUAUACAUAGAAAGUUUAUUUUAUAUUGUAUCAAUAUUUAGCACUUGAGUACU
This is a non-coding RNA of Camellia sinensis, 488 nucleotides long. NCBI's taxonomy places the organism in Eukaryota, Viridiplantae, Streptophyta, Magnoliopsida, Ericales, Theaceae. The record is from RefSeq and is a predicted model, not a curated record.